RNAcentral lists this ribosomal RNA (742 nucleotides) under uncultured Planctomycetota bacterium. RNAcentral's name for it is "bacterial SSU rRNA". It matches the Rfam family "Bacterial small subunit ribosomal RNA", at positions 552 to 1288 of the family's 1533-position model. Lineage: Bacteria; Pseudomonadati; Planctomycetota. The record is from RNAcentral.
AAUUCGCCCUUGAGCACGUAGGUGGGUUUGUAAGUCAGGUGUGAAAGCCUUCUGUUCAACGGGAGAAUUGCAUCUGAAACUACGAAUCUUGAGUGUAGGAGGGGAGAAUGGAACUUCUGGUGGAGCGGUGCAAUGCGUAGAUAUCAGAAGGAACGCCGGCGGCGAAAGCGAUUCUCUGGCCUAUUACUGACACUCAGUGUGCGAAAGCUAGGGGAGCAAACGGGAUUAGAUACCCCGGUAGUCCUAGCCGUAAACGAUGGGCACUAAGUAGAGGGGAUUACCGACGUUCUCUCUGCCGUAGCUAACGCAUUAAGUGCCCCGCCUGGGGAGUACGGCCGCAAGGCUAAAACUCAAAAGAAUUGACGGGGGCUCGCACAAGCGGUGGAGCAUGUGGCUUAAUUCGAUGCAACGCGAAGAACCUUACCGGGGCUUGACAUGGUAGAAGUAGGAACCCGAAAGGGUAACGAACGGUAUCCAGUCCGUGACUAUCACAGGUGUUGCAUGGCUGUCGUCAGCUCGUGUCGUGAGACGUUGGGUUAAGUCCCCUAACGAGCGAAACCCUUGUUUUUAGUUACCAGCGGGUUAUGCCGGGUACUCUAGAAAGACUGCCGUCGUCAAGACGGAGGAAGGUGGGGAUGACGUCAAGUCAUCAUGGCCCUUAUGCCCCGGGCUGCACACGUGCUACAAUGGUCGGUACAAACGGAAGCGAAGCCGAGAGGUGAAGCGAAUCCAAGGGCGAAUU